GGAAUGAGUAAUCUGAUUGUGACUUUUGUUGCCCCACUGAUUACUGGUGUUAAUUCAGGGGUCUAGCUCACUAGACAAGUAUCUCUUUCCUCCCUUUGCUCCAUGUUUAUGUCUCCCUUGAGCAACAUGCUUGGCCAAGAGGUUGACCUUCCCUGCUAAAGGAAGACCAUUCUUCAAUCAAGGUGAAUUCGCUGUGUUCCCCAGCUACCCAGCUAUCCGUGCAGUCAAGCUCUCGAAUAUAGUAGUUGGAGGUUUUAGAAUAUCUGUGUUCACAAACUGGGUAGGGGAGUAGUGAGAUUGCUCAGUGGGUUGAAGUGCUUGCCAAGCAAGCCCAAGUUGAAUC
Molecule: small nuclear RNA, 343 nt
Filed under: Nannospalax galili (Upper Galilee mountains blind mole rat)
Lineage: Eukaryota; Metazoa; Chordata; Mammalia; Rodentia; Spalacidae
Description: 7SK RNA (ENSNGAG00000006139.1)
Rfam family: 7SK RNA (bases 2-267)
About the family: 7SK was discovered as an abundant small nuclear RNA in the mid-70s but a possible function has only recently been suggested.
Source: RNAcentral